AGAUGGCGACCGGCGCACGGGUGAGUAACACGUAUCCAACCUGCCGAUAACUCGGGGAUAGCCUUUCGAAAGAAAGAUUAAUACCCGAUGGUAUAAUCAGACCGCAUGGUCUUGUUAUUAAAGAAUUUCGGUUAUCGAUGGGGGAUGCGUUCCAUUAGGCAGUUGGUGAGGUAACGGCUCACCAAACCUUCGAUGGAUAGGGGUUCUGAGAGGAAGGUCCCCCACAUUGGAACUGAGACACGGUCCAA
This 248-nucleotide ribosomal RNA is filed under the name uncultured bacterium. RNAcentral's name for it is "partial 16S ribosomal RNA". It matches the Rfam family "Bacterial small subunit ribosomal RNA", at positions 86 to 334 of the family's 1533-position model. The record is from RNAcentral.